Molecule: long non-coding RNA, 513 nt
Filed under: Rattus norvegicus (Norway rat)
Lineage: Eukaryota; Metazoa; Chordata; Mammalia; Rodentia; Muridae
Description: long non-coding RNA NONRATT014946
Source: RNAcentral
UGCAUUCAAUACCUGGUAGAUGGGUUUGGAGUUUGUUUUUCCACUAGGACAAAGAGAGAAAAUGUGGUAUAAUGCAGUUUAUUAAAAGGUAAUGAAGGUUUCGAAGACAUGGGAAAUGUUUUCAUUGGUAACUAUGAUCCCUUUAUUCUGUUCACCAAGUAAAAUCUAUACAGACAUUAGCAGGCUCAAAUCUUUGUCCCACGUCCCUACUCCUGUCUAAACAGCACCUACACAGUAAGUUUCCAGAAGCCCAGUGUGUAGGUGUGCGUGGCUCAUAUCCUGCAACCCAUCCACCUCAGCAGUAAACAGGAGUGGGGCUCCCAGGCACUUCUUACCUUUGGGUUGCCUUCCUUUUGCCUGUGUAUGUAUUCCUUGCAAAAGACAUUCCAGUCCUUGGAGGUAAGAGUUAAGUACAUGAAUGAAGCAACAGCAGUAGCCCACAGCACGAGAUGUCCCAGGAUAAUAAAACAGGAAAUCUUGUGUACUAACAAGUUGUAGUUUAAUAUGUUUUAC